GACGCAAUGUGAUUUCUGCCCAGUGCUCU
This 29-nucleotide non-coding RNA is filed under the name Bombyx mori (domestic silkworm). The record is from RNAcentral. Lineage: Eukaryota; Metazoa; Arthropoda; Insecta; Lepidoptera; Bombycidae. RNAcentral also lists the same sequence under 4 other names.